RNAcentral lists this long non-coding RNA (381 nucleotides) under Mytilus galloprovincialis (Mediterranean mussel). The record is from RNAcentral. Lineage: Eukaryota; Metazoa; Mollusca; Bivalvia; Mytilida; Mytilidae.
ACUCCAAAUGUAAGUUUUGCCACAUUAGCUAAAGUAAGAGGUGCAAUAUAUAAUAUAUGACUUAAUUUUCAACAUUGAAAUAUGUUUUAUUUGGAGAAGUAAUGAAUAAUUCUAUAGUGCUAUAGAUUGUAUAUUUUUUAAUUUGUAUUUGUCAAAUAUGUAGAUUAUUUAUUGAAAAAUGCUAUAUGUUAGGUCAAAAUAAAAAAAUAAUUGUUUGCCAUAGAUUGACCAAACCAGAAAUCCCACCUUUUAUUUAAAAAAUUUUUGGUUCAUAAUUUUUUUUUUUGAAUUACAACUUUUAGUAGAAAGCCAACCUUUAUGAACUGUUCAGUUUGUUUAUAACUAUUAUAAACCAUUGUCUUCCUUAUUUUUUACACUAAC